AGAUUUCGAGCUUUUUGUUAAACAAAUCAAAGAGAGUAUUUCAAAAUAAAGCUAAAGCUAAAGGUGAGAAAAAACAAGGGAAGAAUGGGGCCUGCAGAUUUAAAAGGCAAUAAUGGACUGUAAGGGCGUGGUUCGUACGCAUCAUAGAGACUUAUCUAGCCCUAGAUACACGACUGACUACUACUCAAGUGCAACGUAUAUUUCUAUACAUACACCUGAACUAUGCAUUGCAUAGUAUAUAUUUAUGCUGUGCGUAACUAAAUACGUAAUGGCUAUGUGGUCCUCUCAGUGACCAAAGGUAGACCCGAAGAGGGACCUCCUCCCAAGUAAAACGAUCAUCACACGGU
Molecule: long non-coding RNA, 347 nt
Filed under: Brassica rapa (field mustard)
Lineage: Eukaryota; Viridiplantae; Streptophyta; Magnoliopsida; Brassicales; Brassicaceae
Description: long non-coding RNA (BRAP_LNC004532)
Source: RNAcentral